AAACCGUUCAGGGGUAAACCUAAGAAACCCAAAAGAUCGAACGGGGAGAUUCAUCGUCAGCGGCGCUGGCUUCGCGUCGGUGGGCGAUGUCCCGCGCGGUGCCGUUCCUCGGCUCUCGCGCGGGCACGCUACCGUGCGCCGAUGUCCGGCGCUCGUCGUCGUGCACUUCUCCCCUAGUAGGACGUCGCGACCCGCUGGGUGUCGGUCUACGGCCCGGGUGCGGUGUCUGUCACGUCGCCGGUAAAACGGCACGCGGCAAACUCCCGGUCGCCCGGCCGGCUGCCCGGCGGUACGCGCAACGGUAUCAGGCCGCGCCUCGCGCGCGUCGAGCCCGUCGCAAGCGAGCGCCACGGUACCCGGAGGUACGGACCCAGUGCCGUCCCCGGUCCUGGCCCGCUGUUAGCCGCACGGUGUAACCUUCGACAGGCCUCCUCCCGCGCGUGUCAGCGCGCGGGAAUACCGGUCGGCGACGCUACUGCUUUGGGUACUCUUAGGA
Molecule: ribosomal RNA, 496 nt
Filed under: Cerapachys sp. SGB-2003
Lineage: Eukaryota; Metazoa; Arthropoda; Insecta; Hymenoptera; Formicidae
Description: eukaryotic LSU rRNA
Source: RNAcentral